GUGUGGCAGUGAUGAUUAAAUCUUAACAGCUUUACGCCAGUUCUGCUUCAGAAAAUUCUUGAUAGAAGAAGCUGUAUAUAAAUUCUGAGCUUUUU
This is a non-coding RNA of Brassica rapa (field mustard), 95 nucleotides long. Lineage: Eukaryota; Viridiplantae; Streptophyta; Magnoliopsida; Brassicales; Brassicaceae. The record is from Rfam.